This 362-nucleotide ribosomal RNA is filed under the name Morchella esculenta. Its description in RNAcentral is "partial 18S ribosomal RNA". The record is from RNAcentral. Lineage: Eukaryota; Fungi; Ascomycota; Pezizomycetes; Pezizales; Morchellaceae.
CAAGACAGUGGCGGUCGAGAGAGAGUCAGCUAUACGAUGGGGCGCGCCGGCAAACCAGACCGCUGGCACACUGGUGGCGGGUACUGUCACCCGCGCCGUUUGUCGCAACGUCCAGGGCGAGAGCCUUAGCCGGGUGUGGCCCCAUCCGUUAUGCUAGCCAAUUCCAUGCUGCCUGCUGCGCUCCCUCCCCACGCCCUGGGCAGCAGCUCCCGCAAUCGGGGGUGGAAGCCGGAUCAAGGAAUCAAUGCUCUGCACCCAUUCAGUCAAUUGAAUGUGGUGCAGUUUAGGUUAUUUCUGCUGAAGGGGGAUCCCCCGGCAGAGGUGGACGGCACAUGCAGGCUCCGAACGACGGAAGCCAACCA